AGGACAAACGCUGGCGGCGUGCCUAAGACAUGCAAGUCGGACGGGAGGCUUCGGCCUCUAGUGGCGGACGGGUGAGGAGCGCGUGGAGAACCUGCCCCGGGGUGGGGGAUACCCGCCAGAAAUGGCGGUUAAGACCGCAUACGAAUGCACCGUGCAGGCGGUGUAGGGAAAGCAGUGAUGUGCCCUGGGAGGGCUCCGCGUCGGAUUAGCUGGUUGGUGGGGUAACGGCCUACCAAGGCGACGAUCCGUAGCUGGUCUGAGAGGACGGCCGAGCCGACGACUGGGACUGAGACACGGCCCAGACUCCUACGGGAGGCAGCAGUUAGGGAAUUUUGACAAUGGGCGCAAGCCUGAUCGAGUGACGCCGCGUGCGGGAUGACGCCUUCGGGGUGUAAACCGCUUUUCCCAGGGACGAGGAGGGACGGUACCGUGGGGAAGAAGGUCUCGGCUAACUACGUGCCAGCAGCCGC
Molecule: ribosomal RNA, 470 nt
Filed under: uncultured bacterium
Lineage: Bacteria
Description: SSU rRNA
Rfam family: Bacterial small subunit ribosomal RNA
Source: RNAcentral